Molecule: transfer RNA, 69 nt
Filed under: Marmota monax (woodchuck)
Lineage: Eukaryota; Metazoa; Chordata; Mammalia; Rodentia; Sciuridae
Rfam family: tRNA
About the family: Transfer RNA (tRNA) molecules are approximately 80 nucleotides in length. Their secondary structure includes four short double-helical elements and three loops (D, anti-codon, and T loops).
Source: Rfam by way of RNAcentral
GGGGUUGUGGCUCAGUGGUAGAGUGCUCGCUUUGCAUGUGUGAGGCACUGGGUUCAAUCCUCAGCCCCA